AGAUGAACAAAAUCCCCAAUUCCUCCAAACCCUAGUUCCUCUUUGCCAUUCAUGAACCCUAAUAUCCCAACUCGGCUCGUGACAAACUAUAGUAAUCUAAAUACUUCCGACAACUAUAUCACGAUAUAUAUAUUCUAAAGUAUUCUCCUAAAAUUAAUAAAGAAUUACGUAAAAUGUUUCCACCACAUUGAUAACUAUCCUUCAACCCCCCCAAAUACAGUCGUUAUAGAGAAAGUUCCAAACCUGAGGGGUGGGUGCGGCGCCAAAUUCCCAAUUCCCGUCAGUUGAGGAUUCGUUCCCUUAAAGAUGGAUAAAGGAAAGAAACGCAGAAGAGAAGACGAAGAGAUCGAGGCUGUUGACAGCGACGCUAAUCAUUCUCUUUCCCUCGAACAAAAUCUUAGCUUUAGCGACACUUUAGUGGCGCUUCGUAUGAUGCGAGCUCAGUUUCCUCAUAUUGAUAAGGUGUCGAUUCAACCUUUUAUUUUGCAGUCACAAUUGUAUAGCAGUGUAAAGGACAGAACGCAAGUGGAUAGGGAGCUAGAGUCUCUAAGGAGGGAUAAAGUAGUGCGCGUUUUCAAACUAAAUACGGGGCAAGAUGAUCAUGGUAUAAUGUUUUUAGAUGAUUAUCUAAAACAGGUAGAGCAUGUUGUCAAAAGAAUGGAAGAAAAGAAACAAUGUGAUCUUCAAGUUUUUAAGUGGUUCAAAGUGCAUGUUAUUGAGUCCAAGCUAGAACCUUGCAUCGGACAUCAAGAACUUUAUGCACUCUUAUCACUAGGGGGACGGAUGAAAGAUGAGCACAUAUCCCUCCUAAUCAAUUCUGGCUUUCUUACUCACCAAUUGAUUGACCCAAGUAUGUACUGGUUUGCAAUUCCAAAUAUUGGUUCAAUACUAAAAGGCCUCUCCCAGGGAAGGAAGGAACUCCUCUCUCUUUUAAAUCGUAGGAGAUAUAAAAAGAUGAUGUUAGCCCCUUUGGAGAAGAAGCACCUUCGAUUGUCUCCUCUUGAUAUGAGGUUUCACCUUCGGGACUUGAUUGGAUCGGGUCAUAUUAAAACAGUCCAUACACCAACUGGUAUAGUUGUUCGGGUUUCAAAGGAUUAGAUCUCAGGAAGAUACUACAAGCAGUGACAGGUGGAUUAUUUUGCUUCUCUUUUGGCUCAAUCUUGAAUAUGAGGUUGAUGGAAUAACUGCAGACAAUUUUCACGCAAUCAUGUGAUGUUUCAAUGAAUGCAGGAUGAAGUGAGUGUCUUUUCUUCUAAAUCUUGUAUAUUCAUUUAUUUGGCAACCUUCCAUGAUUGAAUUCUUGAGAAUUUAUACUGUUCAAGAGAGAAAAUACAUGCUAGUUUUUU
Molecule: RNA transcript, 1346 nt
Organism: Hibiscus syriacus
Lineage: Eukaryota; Viridiplantae; Streptophyta; Magnoliopsida; Malvales; Malvaceae
Gene name: serine/threonine-protein kinase 19-like
Exons: 9
Source: RefSeq, a predicted model, not a curated record